This 366-nucleotide ribosomal RNA is filed under the name uncultured eukaryote. Its description in RNAcentral is "partial 18S ribosomal RNA". It matches the Rfam family "Eukaryotic small subunit ribosomal RNA", at positions 592 to 976 of the family's 1831-position model. The record is from RNAcentral.
CAAUAGCGUAUAUUAACGUUGUUGCAGUUAAAAAGCUCGUAGUUGGAUUUCUGGAGGGAGCGUCGGCCCGUAUUUACGAGUGCGUGACGUCUCUGUCCAUCCUUGCGGGAAGGCACGGCAUUGAUUUGUUGUGUCGGAUCGCAUCAUUUACUGUGAAAAAAUUAGAGUGUUCAAAGCAGGCUUUCGCUUGAAUACAUUAGCAUGGAAUAAUAAGAUAGGACUUUGGUGCUAUUUUGUUGGUUGAGCCUAAAGUAAUGAUUAAUAGGGAUAGUUGGGGGCACCUGUAUUGCGUUGUCAGAGGUGAAAUUCUUGGAUUUACGCAAGAGAAACAGCUGCGAAAGCGUCUGCCAAGGAUGUUUNCAUUAA